GUUUGGAUUCUCUCUGCCUGACCCAAGGCAGACAUCCGUUCCCUCUGGCCGUUGGUACUCCUGGUUCUCAGGGAUUCAGACUCUGACUGGCGUCCACUCCAUUGGAUCCCGGCCCUCAGGUCUUGGAACUUGCACUGCCAGCAUUCCUGGGUGUCCGGCUUGCGGACAGCAGAUCGUGGGACUUCUCAGCCUCCAGAAUUGCACGAAGUGUCUCCUUACGAAUCUCUUCCUAUGUACGUGUAUCCUAUUGGCUCUGUUUCUCUGCAGAACCCUGACUAAUGCAAACCCUCUCAUCUCACAGCAGUGCAUGUACAAACCCACUCACAUCUUCCCCUCCCCUGCCUUCCCUACCGCAAGUUCCCUCCGACCAGAGGCCAAUCCCGCUGCGGUGCCCCGGACCCACCCUCUGCACCAGCCUUCCUUCUUGUUUUCUAAAAGCUCGCGUUUUCUGUGGGCUUCCAAGGCUGCUCUUCAGUAUCUUUACGUCAGAGCCUCCCAGCUCCUUCCCCUCUCUCAAAAGCGUUUUCACAGGGACUGUAGGCUCCUUCCCUCCCCUUGAUAACCAAGUACUAUGCCCCAGGUUCUUACCUCACAGCCCAAAGUUGUCCUAAGUCGGGCCCUGACCUGAGUGUCUCCAAAUCCAGCAGGCCGUCUGCUCUCCUGUGACAUGCAGCAUCCCACGGCUUUUCCUAAAAGACCCCCUCUGUCAGCUUUGCUGUCACCCACCCUCCAGGGCUCUCUCUUACAGGUCUGCCCUUUGCUAGCAUCUUAGCCUCUCCACCUCCCGGUGGUCCUGUCUGCGAUGGACCCCCUCCAUGUGUCCCAAGGCCCUCCAAAGGAACAGGUCUGUAUCAGGUGCAAUUAGAUUGAGGUGCAAUGCAAGGGCUUGAAUUGCAGAGAGGUUCAUUUUUCUUUUUGUAGAAAAGUCUGGGACCAGCUGUCAGAGACUGAUUUGGCCACUCCAUGGUCACCAGGACCAGGCUGUGUCCAUCUUUUCUGUUCUGACCUUUUUCACAUGGGCCAUUGUCCAUGUCACCGCUGGUCACCAGCUGCAGCAGUCGCAUUCUUGCUCCGGGCAGCAGGAAGAAGGUGAGACCAGAAGGCAGAGGGGGCUGGUCCUGCCUGGUCAGCCCCCAGGGGGCUUUGCCCAGACACCCCUUCCCCACCCAUGGCUCUGCUGAUUUCUCUAUAGCUGCCACCCUCUGAAAAGGGAGCUGGCAGAGUAGUUCUUAGACAUGGCACCUGGCCACCUCUGUGGCUGAAGAAGAAGGGGGUUGAGGAUUGGGGUACACACCUGUCAGUCUCCAUGCAAUGCCCCAAAGUGGACCACUGACCCCACACCACGCUGUUCUCCUCUGAGUUUUCUCACCUCUGUCCAAAUGGCUGCAGAAGCCAAAAGCCCCAGAGCCCAGCUCCCCUUCCCUCCUUUCUCUUCCAUCCUUCCAUCCUUCCAUGAGCCUGCCCCUCAUCCUCCUCAGGGCUGGAACUGGCUGCCGGAUUCCUCCCUGGCUCCGUGGGGGCUGGCUCAGCAAUCUGAGCUGCCGAUGGCUCUGUGGUCCAGCUGGGAGGAUUCAUGCCCCAUUGGGGCUGAGAGGAAUGAGGUGAGGGCUGUGGGGUUUGCCCAGAAUCUCCUGAAAUAUCGGGCCCAGGAACUACAGCAGGACUCUCAUUCCGCCUUCUGGCCACUGUUGGGGGUGACACUGGCAGGAUCCAGGGGCUCUGGAAAGCUCCAGGGGAAAUUUGAGGCAUAACCCAGCUUCUCUGAGACGGAACUCAGGGAGGAUCCAGCUCAAUCCUACAGAGGCGACCCCAAGGAAGGACCUGCCCAGGGUCACUUGGAGAGCUGGGCGGGAGGAGGGAGAAACCUCCCCCGUUCAGAGUGACAAAGCCCCCCUUGCCUCAGGGAUGGCUGAGAUCCAAGUCCUCAAAACACGCCGCCAUCUGGAGGGUGUGAGAGCGAGGUCCGUCCUCAGCAUGGACGCUGCAGUGCACACUGUUCCGUGCCAGGUGCUGGCUGACCCUGCCCUGUGGGAGGUGAUGGACAGGCACACAGGGGGAGCCCCGCAAACAAGGGGCCCUGUUACAGCAGAGUGGGAGAGCGCCUGGUAGGACGCCAAGCACCGUGGCCGGGCUGCAGAGAGGCCUGCGGGACUUGUAGACAAGACGUCAUGGAGAAGGCGGAGCUCCCAUGGGCCUUGCAGGUUUCACCAAGCAAGAGCGGAGAAGACACAGGCUGGACAAAGGAAGGUGGACGGGACAGCCAGCCGUGCAGCAGCCUCACAGGACACAGCUACCAGACAGAGAGCACCAGCUGACACUCAUUCCUCCAGCACCAGGAAAUGCCACAGCAGAAGAGAGUCUUCAAGAUGGGCCAGACCCACUUCUGCAGCAUGGUUGCUGGGAGCCUGCACAGGCCAGGCAUUUCUCUACAGGUCAGCAGAGCUGCAGCAAGAUCCCAGGUCCUGACCCAAGGCAGUCCUGACCCAUGGUCUAUCCCCACCGGCCCUUCCCUGGAGCUGUGCCUCAGCUGGGGAGGUACUUCUGGAAGGCAGGUGGAGGAGGUCCAGUUGCUCUUCAGAACUCAAAAUCCCAUCUCUGCAGGUCUCAGCCAAUCCUGCUCCCGCCUGUUUUUAUUUCCUGCCCAGAGCAAGUACAGAACCGAGGGCCAUCGAUGGGCGAGAAAUCACUGUGCCUCCAAGCUGUAUUUUUCACCGUAACAAGUCAUUACUUCUGUGCCCGGAGUCAUUUCUCAGGAUCUUAAUGCAUUCGUUUAUCAAUCAAUACUUAACUGAUGUCUAUAAAGCAUGUUCAAAAUCAGAGGUGAGAGCAGCUCACCAGGUACCGACUUCGUGUCUGGAGCCACCUUGUUAAGGAGCAACCCUUGGCACGGGUCCCGUGUCUGCACCCUCGGGAGCUCUGGGUGGGUGCACUGGGGUCCUCACAGCCCUUCCCACCACCGCAGAUGGAAAUCUCUACCUGGCAGAGGGGCUCAGUCGUCCCCACCUGGGAGUCUGGGGCCUACCGGCAGCAGAAGGUGCAGUGGCCAAACACAGAGACAUUUCUAUCAUCAGACCUGGUCCCCAGCCUGACUCUGCUGCCCACUUACCCCUGGCCAGGGCGAGUUCAUCGACUGUGCCGAGCCUGGCUGCUUCUCCAGCCUAACAGGAGUCCCCGUCUCGACAGGACUGAGUGGGGUGAAUGCAGCCAAGUGCUCAGCAGAGACUGUCCCACCGGGAAGUGUUCACAAAUAUGGGCUGUUGAACCUGCUGUUGUUAGAUCUAGAUCCAGUUCUGCGACCACGUUCAUGACUUAGAUCAUAACUGAAGUGCGGGCCAGCCGAGGCCGGGCCGUUUAGGGGUUUGGCUGCUAAUUCAAGAAGGACACCUGGGUUUGGAUCCCAGAGUUCCCUCCAGACCCAGAUGUGGCCUCAGGCAGGUGAUGAGCCUGGAGAUGCGGUUUCAUUUUCUGCAGGGUGGUCAAAGGAGAUCUCAGGCUUGUAGGAGACAAAGCACAUCGCCCCGAACUGCUCAGGAGGCGCAGAUUACAGCCACCCUCCUUAUCCACCCCGUCUCCCAUCACAGCCCUCAUGAGUGCUCAAGCAAGGCUCAGGGCCUGAUGGACGUGGCUGCCUCCUCCUAGAGGACAGGCAUGUCUCGGCUGCCUGCACCAGCCAGCGGCCCUUCUCCCCGGCCAGGAGAUCCUCCAAGGAAGGCCAAGGGCCAAGCAGCUGCUGGAGCAGAUGACCACAAACUCAGUGACUGCAGAGUGCACGCGCUCAUCACCUUACAGUUGUGUAGGCUGGGAUCCCACUGGGCUAAGACCAAGGUGUUGGGAGGCUGCGUUUCUUGCUGGAUGCUGUAAGGGAGAAGUCGUUUCCUCGUGUUUUUUUAACUUCCUUGGCCCACGGACCUUCCUCCACCUUCAAAGCCAGCAGCCUCGCGUCUUCUGACCUUCCAUUGUCACAUCGUCAUCUGACCCACGUAAGGACCCGUGUGAUUAGGGUGGGCGCACCCGGGUAAUCUUCCCAUCUCAAAGUCCUUGACUGAAUCACAUCUGCAAAGUCCCCUUUGCUACGUAAGGUCACAUGUUCACAAGAUCCAGGGAUUAGGACUUGGACAUUUUUGGAAGCCCAUUGUCCUGCCAACAGCACAAGACCUCCAGGUGAUCCUGAUGUGUAACGCACAGUGAGAGACAAAUGCUCUGAUGGACCAUCAACAGCAGAACGUAAGCAGGGAGAGGGACCCCGCCUUCCUCCCCAAUCUGGCCCUGUGCCUAGCAAAUUAUAGAACUUUUGUAAGCAAAUGAGUUCAUUUGUGAAUAAAUGAACGACCGGUGAGACGAAGAGCUGGGCGUAGCAGCCACAGGUGGGGCUGCCAAAUAAAAUGCAAGAUGCGUGGUUAAAUCUGAAUUUCAGAUAAAUAACAAGUACUUAUGUUUUUGGGGGUUUUUUUGUUUUUUUGUUUUUUUUUUGAGAUGGAGUCUCGUUCUGUCGCCCAGGCUGGAGUGCAGUGGUGUGAUCUUGCCUCACUGCAAGCUCCACCUCCCGGGUUCAAGUGAUUCUCCUGCCUCAGCCUCCUGAGUAGCUGGGAUUACAGGCAUGUGCCACCAUGCCUGGCUAAUUUUUGUAUUUUUAAUAGAGACGGGGUUUCACCAUGUUGGUCAGGCUUGUCUUGAACUCUUGACCUCAGGUGAUCCACCCGCCUCGGCCUCCCAAAGUGCUGGGAUUACAGGCAUGAGCCACCACACCUGGUAACAAGUAGUUUUUUACUACCAGUGUGCCUCUAACAAUAUUUGAGAUAUACUAAAAAAAAAAGUUGUUUUUUAUCUGAAAUUCAAAUUUAGCUGAUAUCCUGUAUUUUUCUUUGUCAAAUGUGGCUUCUCUAAGCAUCAGUCCAGCCAUGGCCCAGGUGGUGAACCUGGAAAUUCAUUCCUCCCUCCAGAACUCUGUUUCCCUGCUCAGUGUUCUAGAAAGCAUCCCCUUCUCUGGCAAACCCUGUCCAAUCUCUCAGGGAAGAUGAGGCCUCCUUCCUCUUCCUGUCCUCCGUUAAUCGAUAUUCCCACCCCAACCCCUCCUAGAAUUUGGUGAUCUGGGGUCUGAAGUCUUCUACCAGGAGCUCAAGCUGAUGGGCUGAGAAGCCCAGUUCUGACGUGAAUUCUGCACCCCUCCUUCGGGAACAAGGAAGACCCAAGCUUGCUUAUCUCUAGAUCCUGCGGGGGGCUUUUGAGAAUCCCUAGUUUUGAGGCUGUGGGAUGGAGCUGCAUGGGAGAGCCAGGAGGAAGACCCUGGCACAGCACGCUCUGAGUAUGGGGUUGCUGCUGGCCCACCCUGUUCCCUCCACACUCUGGAGGAUGUGGAGUGGACGCCAUCAGGGUGCAGCCAUGCAGAACGGCUGGGUCUGUCCCUGUGUCCUCACGCACAGAGCUCUGGAAGGCAGGCAGACGUCCUCACACAUCUGUGAGCCAAAAGGCAAAAAACAAAAGAAGCAAACAAAAAAAUCCACUCCGAUGUUCUUAUGCUUAUGGGUUCUACAGACUUGCAUAUACAUAAUGUAAUGAAAAUUCUUGAUUUCAUCUUCAGAGACAUAAAUGGAAGAAAAUGUACAUAAAAGAGAGUCCACUUAAACAUGUGAUCCUCUCAAAGGAAGAAAAGAACAGGGCUCACUCAUCCACAUCAACCCGGUGAGGCCCGGACACCCCCCACCUCUUCUGCUUAGAGCCCUAUUAUCCUUUGAUCUCCCUAAUAAUGUGUUUCUUUCCUGGUAAUAGGUUUUCAUCAUCCUCACAGCCUAUUGAUUAGAACUCUUUUCCAGGGUUUUGAGAUAUUGGCUAAAAUAAGGGAUGAAAUGAUUCAGUCUUCAGGUGAUGUUUCAAAGGAGGCGUGUUCGUAAUGUCCUCCCGCGACGAGGGACCUGGCCAAGAGAAACUACGCAGGAGGCCCAGAAGGCAGAGCCUGCUCCAGGUCGGCCUCACUGCUGUCCCUUCUGACCUCUCGACAUUUUGGUUUUGGCAUGGUGAAUGGGGCUACCACAGUGGGCCAGCCAGCAUGACCCCCUGACCAGACCUGGAGGCAGGCAGAGGAAAGGAGAGGGCCAGGGAUGGGUGGGUGGCCGGGUGUGUGCCGUUUGCUGAAGUUGAGGCACUGUGGUUCCUGGAAUCCUCAGCCCAGGGACUUCUAAGACACAUCUCUAAGACACAAACAAGAUCUACACCUCUAAGAGGGAAGGAAUGACCGGCCCAUCGCAGGCUGUCUUCGACUGUUGGGGCUCCCAUGACAAAAUGCCAUAGACUUAGGGGCCGAUGAACAACAGCCAUUGGUUUCCCACAGUUCUGGAGGCUAGAAGUCCAAGAGCAAGGCUCCAGCAGAACGUCUGGUGAGGGCCGCUUCCUGAUUCAUAGACGGCACCUCUUUGCUGUGUCCCCGCCUGGUAGAGGGCUGAGGGAUCUCCCUCAGAACUCUUUUAAAAGGGCACUCUCCUCAUUCACCAGUGUUCCACCCUCAGGACCUAAUCACCUCCCAAGGGCCCCACCUUUUAAUACUAUUUAAUACCAUUGCAUUAAGGAUUAGGUUUCAACAUGUGAAACUGCAGGACACACACACUCAGCCCAUAGCAGAUGCCCUGAAGGGGCUGUGAAGUGUCGUGAGUAGAGCCCCAGGAAUGGAGGGUUCUGGAGGGGCACAUAGGUCCAACAGAGCGCAGGCAUAAGGUGGGAAGCCAGAGGGGGCUGUGUGGGCCGGACUGGGUCAAAUCAGGAGGCCUGGAGAUGCCUGGUGAGGAGCCCCGGUCCCACGAUGUAGGGGGCCUGUCGGCACAGGAGUGUAGGCCACGGGCUUGUGGGCAGCCUCCCUCAGGAGGGUGUGGGGCUGAUGAGCAGGUGUGGGCGCAGGUGCAUGCAUCAGGACGUGUCCCCUGCGGAAGCAGCUCCUGUAGGAUCACCUCCUCCACCAGCGACCAGGAAGGACAUUGCAUUUAGACUCUAGGUGAGUCCAGCUUCACUCAUCGCCAGCUGAGGCCUCAUUUUCUCAUCUCUAAGACAUAAACAACCACCCCCUCUUCCCAGGAACACACACACACACGCGCGCGCACACACGUGGUUCUGCGGCUCAUAACUAAAUGUAAUGAAAGGUAAACUAAAGUGCCCCUCCAUGGAAAUCGACCCCAAUUCAGCCUCUAAUCCUGAGAUGCAAGAUUCAGAACCAGUAUGUCAAGGAAAAGUGUUUCUCUGCAUUGAUCCUCGAGGAUACUAAAUGUAUAUUUUAAAAAAUAAAUUCUGUCCCAAGUGUUUGGUGAGACAGAGAGAGAAGCAGCCGCUUCUGAAGUGAGCACAAGGACGUGGCUUUUCUGGAGGCUUCCUCAUUGCAGGACCCAUCCAUCACCUUCAGGGGUUCGAUGAAACCGUUGCAAAUAUGAUCAAUCAUCUUUUUAUUGAAUUAAGACAAAUGGCUGGUUAUUAAUAGGCUAAGACUUAAUGAGGAAAAUGGAUAAUGCCGCACAGGGAAAAGGCAAAGAACUGUGCACACAGCCUCUGCACUUUUUCUAGAAAGAUCUGGAAGUGUCUUCAGUGAGAAAAGCCCCGGGCUGGAUGACCUCUUUGAUUCACACUAAGGACUCAAGGAAGCAAAAACUCCUAGGUUGACCCUUUCUCCACCACCUUCUAUCUGUGUGAUCUUCAGGCAGUGACUUGACCUCUCUGAACUUCUGUCUCUUCACAAAGGUGCUUGGCUUAUGAUGUUGUGCCUGGCAGACGCAGACUGAGAGAAGCAGAGUCCUGGCCUCCAAAAUCUGAGUUGUGUGUGGGACAGAAUGGUGUGCUUCACCUGCGGUUCUGAGGGGGCCGGCGGGAUCAGAUGCUGGCACAGGACAUGGGAAGGGGGUGCGUGUGGGGCAGAGCCGUGCAGCAGGUGCACAGCUGUGCAAGGUCCCCUGAUGGGCCCUCUCUGCUCCAUGUUUCCAGAAAUCCUUGGAAAGGAGCUCAAGUGGCACAGUAUCUGGAGCGUGUUGUGGACUUGGUUGGGAUGCCUGGUGUCUGUUUAUGGCAGCACUUCUGGGGAAACAGAUUGUGUUUAUGUCAGAAAGAAAAGACCAUGUUUCGGGGCAAUCCCUGCAGCUCGUUAGGUCAAAUCAACACCCCCAGCCCAUCUGCCUCCGCAGGGUGCCUCGGCCCCACUCAGUGCCGGCAGACAGGAGCCUCCCAGGGAGCAGCCGAGCUCCAGGGCGGGGGAGCCACCACCGAGCACAAUAGCCAAUCAGCCCCUUCCUAGAAGCAAGUCAGGCUGCCCGGCGUGCUUUCUGUCUGUCGUUCCUGCAGCCUCCACGGGCACCGGCCCAGGUGGUCCCUGGCUGGAUGGUCAGAACUCAGAGCUGUGAGCUGUGGCUGCUGAUUCCCUCCUGAACAACAGGGUCUAGGGAGACAGGCAGACACAGAAACCUCAAGUGAAGUGGGGGCUGCGGGCUGGGGGUGCUGCACGGGGCAGUCAGGGGCACAGCAAAGAGGACGUGACCUCAGGUCCUCGGCAGCAGGGAGGGAAGGCAUGGAGUACAUGCUUUCCUCUGGGAAACACUCAUAUCCGAUUCACAUGAUAUUGUCCGCAGUGCUGAGCCUGGCAGACCUACAUCUUCAUCUUUUUGGUGCGUUAAUGAGGAUUUUUAUUUCUUCUUUAAUGAUUAAUUCCUAAAAUUAUAAUACUUAUGUGAAUAGUACCAAUGCUUAAUAUUUUUGAUAAAAAUUUAAAAAUUGAGCUCCAAAAGGGAUUCACCAAUUAAUAUUUCCAUCAUCAUUAUGCAGAAGUUGCUAUUUACUCACAUCCUUAAUUAUAGAGGAAAGUAUCAAUGAAUGUUUACCAAUUUAAUGACUCAAAUAUUUUCAUAUCUAUAUUUCUCCAUUAUUAGUGACAUUGUGCACUUUUACUUAUGUGUAUUGACGAUUUGUACUUUUACUCUGUGAAUUUCUUUUUCUCUUCUUUUUUUCAACUUUUAUUUUAGAAUUGGAGAGUACAUGUGCAGGUUUGUUAUGAAGUUAUAUUGCGUGAUGCUGAGGUUUGGAGCAUGAGUGAAUCUGUUACCCAGGUACUGAGCAUAGUACCCAAUAGGUAGUUUUCUUUCUACCUUGCCCCCAGGAGUCCCCAGUAUCUAUUUUUCCCAUCUUUGUGUCCAUCUGUACCUAAUGUUUAUCUCCCACUUACAAGUGAGAAAACGUGGUAUUUGGUUUUCUGUUCCUGCAUUAAUUUGCUUAGGAUAAAAGUUUCUAGCUGCAUCCAUGUUGCUGUGAAGGACAUGGUUCCAUUCUUUUUCAUGGCUGUGUAGUAUUCCACGGUGUCUGUGGGUUUUUUUUAAAGGUUGUUUUUGAAGAAUACUUGACAACAUGGAGAAAUUCUCAAUGCGUGAAAAAAAAGUAAAAGGAAAGUAAAAGGGAACAGAAGUAUAUAUAAAGCAUGUUCCAAUAUUGUCCAAAAAUAUUAUUAUUGAUUAUCUGGGAGAAGUUUAUGGGUAUUUAUGCUUUUUUCCAUCUUUGAAAAAUACUCUGAGAAUAUGCAUUAGUUUUAUGAGGAAAGUGCAUGUUAUAAAGCCUAAAGAUGAAUUGUGUCUCCCCACAAAAGAUAGGUUGAGGGACUCAGCCUGUGGCCUGAUUUGGAAGCAGGGUCACUACAGAUGGAAUUAGUUGAGGUGAGGUCGUCCUGGAGUAGGUGAACUCCAAUCCAAGAUGACUCAUGUUUUUGCCAG
Molecule: long non-coding RNA, 9719 nt
Filed under: Homo sapiens (human)
Lineage: Eukaryota; Metazoa; Chordata; Mammalia; Primates; Hominidae
Description: non-protein coding LINC00898:9
Source: RNAcentral